Populus trichocarpa (black cottonwood) is the source of this 455-nucleotide long non-coding RNA. RefSeq lists it as uncharacterized. NCBI's taxonomy places the organism in Eukaryota, Viridiplantae, Streptophyta, Magnoliopsida, Malpighiales, Salicaceae. The record is from RefSeq and is a predicted model, not a curated record. The transcript has 2 exons.
UUCAUGAUAUGAUGGUGUAAAAUAGGGAACACUUGAAUGUGAACAUAUGAACUAUUGAAAUAAGUGUGAUGAUGAAUGUGAUUCAAAAAUAAAAUAAAUACAACUGUGCUGAUUUGUGACCAUUGAUGUCUUAGGUGGUGCGGUCGGGAUUGGACCAUCAUCAAGACAGGAACGACCCACAGGUGGAGCAGGGACGUCACACCAACGAGAUGUCUAGGAUACCCGAUACACGGGAACCUACUUUUGCAAGGAAUUAAGUAGAUGCAUUCUAAAUCACAAUGUAUUUUGUAGGGAUCAAUGUACUGAAUGUAUAACUUUUAUUAGAUCCUUUUUGUUUAAAAAUUGUGAUGGCUAUUAGAAGUAUAAGAGUGCAAACUCAUGUCCAUGUAUAUAUAUUUUUAAUAUGAACUUCAAAUCAUGCAACCUUAAUAUUAUGUGUUUGUGUAAGAUUCGCU